Molecule: long non-coding RNA, 957 nt
Organism: Mytilus californianus (California mussel)
Lineage: Eukaryota; Metazoa; Mollusca; Bivalvia; Mytilida; Mytilidae
Exons: 3
Source: RefSeq, a predicted model, not a curated record
UUAUACGACAGCAAAAAAAUUUUGCGGUCGUAUAUUGGUAUGACGUUGGCAUCGUCUUUGUCCGAAGACACAUUGGUUUUCGCACUCUAACUUUAGUUUAAGUGGAUGGAUCUCUAUGAAAUUUUACCAUAAGGUUCAAUACCACAAAAGGAAGGUUGGGAUUGAUUUUGGGGGUUAUGGUAGCAACAGUUAAGGAAUUAGGGGCCAAAAAGGGGCCAAAAAUAAGCAUUUUUGUAACUUCCAGACAUAACUUGUGUGUUAGUGUAUGGAUCUCUCUGACAUUGUACCACAAGGUUCCAUAUCUCAAAAGGAAUGCUUGGGUUGAUUUUGGGGGUAAUUGCCUCAAAAUUUUAGGAAUUAGGGGCUAAAAAAGGGGCAAAAAACAAGCAUUUUUCUAGUUUCAUGACAAUAACUUGUGUGUAAGUGUAUGGAUCUUUCUGAAAUUGUACUACAAGGUUCCAUAUCAGAAAGGGAAAGCUUGAAUUGAGUUUGGGGGUAAUUGCCCAAAACGUUUAGGAAUAAGGGGUCAAAAGGGGGCCAAAAAUAAGCAUUUUUCUAGUUUCCAGACAAUAACUUGUGUUCAAGUAUAUGGAUCUCUCUGAAAUAGUACUGCAAGGUACCAUACCACUAAAGGAAAGGCUGGGAUUGAUUUUGGGGGUAAUUGCCUCAAAAUUGUAGGAAUUAGGGUAAAAAAAGGGGCAAAAAACGAGCAUUUUUCUAGUUUCAAGACAAUAACUUGUGUGUAAGUGUAUGGAUCUUUAUGAAAUUGUACUACAAGGAUCCAUAUCACAAAGGGAAAGCUGGGUUCGAGUUUGGGGGUAAUUGCCCUAAACGUUUAGGAAUUUGGGGCCAAAAAGGGAAAAAAAACAAGCAUUUUUCUAGUUUCCAGACAAUAACUUGUGUUCAAGUGUAUGGAUCUCUCUGAAAUUGUACUGCAAGGCACCAUACAUUGUAACA